UGAGUCACUGCACUCAGCCCACUUGAGGAUCUUGAAUGCUCAGAUUCCACAGAACUCCCUGGGCCUGCAGAAGUGGCCCAGUCCCCCUUGUUGAAAGAUAAACCCCAUUUCCCCCUUCGCUCUUGCUUGUUUGAAAGCUAUUCAGUAGCCUCUAAACAAGGCAAGUAACUUCCAGGAGGAUGCUGGCCCAUCUCAGGAUCUGCCCCCUCCUACCUGCCUGGCCACCAGACCCAUAACUCCUCUGAAAUCAAGGCUCAAGAGAGAGGUUUAAUGAUUUGCCCAGCACUUACACAGGUGAUGUGUGACAGAGCGAGGCUGUAAUCCAAAGUGGAACUAGUGAUGAGAUUCUUUACAGCAAGCUGCAUUCACUAAGGCAGUUUUCCUUUCUAAAUAAAUCUCUCAGACUUUCACUGAGUCAAUAGAGAUGGGAAACCGGUGAUGAUCACUAUCUCCCUAUAAACAAGUAUCAUACACUCAGAUUAUUAAGUUACUACCCAGUCCAUUUUUUUUUUCAUUGACAUUUCCCAUAUGCAAGGCUGGCUACAUAAUUUCCAGGACCCAGUGCAAAAUUAAAAUGUGGGGCACAUUUUUAAAAGCACAGAAAACUUUUCCUGUGGCAGCAGCGGUGCUGAGAGGAGCAUGGCUCUCUCCUCUCCGCCAUGGUGUGUGCUCACCCACUGAUAUCGCUGUACUCUGAAAAGGGGGAGUCAUCUGACAAAAAUGUCACUUUGCCUGCUGUAUUCAAGGCUCCUAUUCGACCAGAUAUUGUGAACUUUGUUCACACCAACUUGCACAAACACAACAGACAGCUGUAUGCUGUCGGUGAAUUAGCAGGUCAUCAGACCAGUGCUGAGUCUUUGGGUACUGACAGAGCUGUGGCUCAAAUUCCCAGAGUUCGAGGUGGUGGGACUCACCUUUCUGGCCAGGGUGCUUCAGGAAACGUGUUAUGGAGGCCGAAUGUUUGCACCAACCAAAACCUGAUGCCGUUAGCAUCAUAGAGUGAACCCAACCCAAAAACGAUAUGCCAUCUGUUCUACCCUGGCUGCCUCAGCCUUACUAGCACUGGUCAUAUCUAAAGGUCAUCGUAUUGAGGAAGUUCCUGAACUUCCUUUGGUAGUCGAAGAUAAAGUUGGAGGAUACAAGAAGAUCAAGGAGGCUGUUUUGCUUCUUAAGAAACUUAAAGCCUGGAAUGAUAUCAAAAAGGACUAUGCCUCUCAGCAAAUGAGAGUUGGCAAGGGCAAAAUGAGAAACCGUCACCGUAUCCAGCACAGAGGCCCCUGCAUCAUCCAUCAUGAGGAUAAUGGUAUCAUCAAGGCCUUCAGAAACAUCCCUGGAAUUACUCUGCUUAACGUAAGCAAACUGAACAUUUUGAAACUUGCUCCUGGUGGGCCUGUGGGACGUUUCUGCAUUUGGACCGAAAGUGCUUUCCGGAAGUUAGAUGAAUUGUAUGGCAUUUGCCGUAAAGCUGCUUCCCCCAAGAGUAACUACAAUCUUCCCAUCCACAAGAUGAUCAAUACAGAUCGUAGCAAAAUCUUAAAAAGCCCAGAGAUCCAGAGAGCCCUUCGAGCACCACGCAAGGAGAUUCAUUGCAGAGUCCUAAAGAAGAACCCACUGAAAAAUGUGAGAAUCAUGUUGAAGCUAAACCCAUAUGCAAAGACCAUGCGUCGGAACACCAUUCUUCGCCAGGCCAGGAAUCACAAGCUCGGAGUGGAUAAGGCAGCAGCGGCAGCUGCCGCACUAGAAGCCAAAUCGGAUGAGAAGUAGGUUGCAGGCAAGAAGCCUGUGGUAGGUAAGAAAGGAAAGAAGCCUGCUGUUGAUGUUAAAAAGCAGAAGAAACCUCUGGUGGGAAAAAAGGCAGCAGCUACCAAAAAACCAGCCCCUGAAAAGAAGCCAGCAGAAAAGAAGCCUACUACAGAGGAAGAGAAGUCUGCUGCAUAAACUCUUAAAUUUGACUAUUCCAUAAAGAUCAAAUCAUUUUGGACAGCUUCUUUUGAAUAAAGACCUGAUCAAAGAGGCAGUGA
Macaca mulatta (Rhesus monkey) is the source of this 2021-nucleotide non-coding RNA. The record is from RefSeq and is a predicted model, not a curated record. Lineage: Eukaryota; Metazoa; Chordata; Mammalia; Primates; Cercopithecidae.